This 685-nucleotide ribosomal RNA is filed under the name uncultured Vibrionaceae bacterium. RNAcentral's name for it is "bacterial SSU rRNA". It matches the Rfam family "Bacterial small subunit ribosomal RNA", at positions 1 to 671 of the family's 1533-position model. The record is from RNAcentral. Lineage: Bacteria; Pseudomonadati; Pseudomonadota; Gammaproteobacteria; Vibrionales; Vibrionaceae.
UAGAGUUUGAUCAUGGCUCAGAUUGAACGCUGGCGGCAGGCCUAACACAUGCAAGUCGAGCGGAAACGACACUAACAAUCCUUCGGGAGCGUUAAUGGGCGUCGAGCGGCGGACGGGUGAGUAAUGCCUAGGAAAUUGCCUUGAUGUGGGGGAUAACCAUUGGAAACGAUGGCUAAUACCGCAUAAUGCCUACGGGCCAAAGAGGGGGACCUUCGGGCCUCUCGCUUCAAGAUAUGCCUAGGUGGGAUUAGCUAGUUGGUGAGGUAAUGGCUCACCAAGGCGACGAUCCCUAGCUGGUCUGAGAGGAUGAUUAGCCACACUGGAACUGAGACACGGUCCAGACUCCUACGGGAGGCAGCAGUGGGGAAUAUUGCACAAUGGGCGAAAGUCUGAUGCAGCCAUGCCGCGUGUAUGAAGAAGGCCUUCGGGUUGUAAAGUACUUUCAGUUGUGAGGAAGGGGGUAGCGUUAAUAGCGCUAUCUCUUGACGUUAGCAACAGAAGAAGCACCGGCUAACUCCGUGCCAGCAGCCGCGGUAAUACGGAGGGUGCGAGCGUUAAUCGGAAUUACUGGGCGUAAAGCGCAUGCAGGUGGUUCAUUAAGUCAGAUGUGAAAGCCCGGGGCUCAACCUCGGAACUGCAUUUGAAACUGGAGAACUAGAGUACUGUAGAGGGGGGUAGAAUUUCA